This 436-nucleotide ribosomal RNA is filed under the name uncultured bacterium. RNAcentral describes it as "partial 16S ribosomal RNA". It matches the Rfam family "Bacterial small subunit ribosomal RNA", at positions 341 to 792 of the family's 1533-position model. The record is from RNAcentral.
ACGGGAGGCAGCAGUGGGGAAUAUUGGGCAAUGGGGGAAACCCUGACCCAGCAACGCCGCGUGGAGGAAGAAGGUCUUCGGAUCGUAAACUCCUGUCCUAAGGGACGAGAAGAAGACGGUACCUUAGGAGGAAGCCCCGGCUAACUACGUGCCAGCAGCCGCGGUAAUACGUAGGGGGCGAGCGUUGUCCGGAAUGAUUGGGCGUAAAGGGCGCGUAGGCGGCCCGGUAAGUCUGAAGUGAAAGUCCUGCUUUUAAGGUGGGAAUUGCUUUGGAUACUGAUGGGCUCGAGUGCAGGAGAGGAAAGCGGAAUUACCGGUGUAGCGGUGAAAUGCGUAGAGAUCGGUAGGAACACCAGUGGCGAAGGCGGCUUUCUGGACUGAAACUGACGCUGAGGCGCGAAAGCGUGGGGAGCAAACAGGAUUAGAUACCCUGGUA